UACGUAGGUCCCGAGCGUUGUCCGGAUUUAUUGGGCGUAAAGCGAGCGCAGGUGGUUUAAUAAGUCUGAUGUAAAAGGCAGUGGCUCAACCAUUGUAUGCAUUGGAAACUGUUAGACUUGAGUGCAGUAGAGGAGAGUGGAAUUCCAUGUGUAGCGGUGAAAUGCGUAGAUAUAUGGAGGAACACCGGUGGCGAAAGCGGCUCUCUGGACUGUAACUGACACUGAGGCUCGAAAGCGUGGGUAGCAAACAGG
Molecule: ribosomal RNA, 252 nt
Filed under: uncultured microorganism
Description: partial 16S ribosomal RNA
Rfam family: Bacterial small subunit ribosomal RNA
Source: RNAcentral